RNAcentral lists this long non-coding RNA (640 nucleotides) under Equus caballus (horse). Its description in RNAcentral is "lncRNA (ENSECAG00000043496.2)". The record is from RNAcentral. Lineage: Eukaryota; Metazoa; Chordata; Mammalia; Perissodactyla; Equidae.
CCCGCCUCUAUUUGUCAGGUCUUGAGGAAAGUUGUAAAGAGCCUGCACUUUUGCUAAGUGCCCCAGGGACCCACUUCUUUGCACCCCCCACUGCUGGACUGGGCUCAGUUUCAUCUUCUCAGAGCCCCUCUUCCUCCAUCCGAUGGAAGGCGGUUCCUCGCCUGCCAGUCUCUGCCUUGGGUUCUUCUUCGUUUCUUUCCUCCAUCACAAUUUGUGAUGAGGUUGUUGAUUUUUUAAAAGCAUUUGUGUCCUCUACUCCUUGAACAUCAGCUCCUUAAGGACAGGAGACCCUGUCUGUCUGAGGAGUUACAGCCUGCCGCCUACUGAAUUCACAUGGUGGAGUCUUGGUAAAGCUGGAGUCUGAACGCAGAAAGUUCUCAAGUUUUCCAUGCCUGCUCAGGAAAAGGAGCAAAGCAUCAAUUGUGCAGGCUGUAAUAUGUAAAACACAAAGAAAUAUGAAAGGAUCCCUCAGGAACUUUAACUUCCUAUAUUGGUGAAAAAUGCUUCAAAGUUAGCAAAAGACCAACUUCUAGAGCCUUUGGAAUAUUUUUGAAGGCAAGAGCUUAUGUGAUAUCAGAUGCUGUAAAUUCUUAGCUCACGUCUACAACAGUAUGCUUUCAAUAAACGUUUUCUCUUGCUG